GAUGAACGCUGGCGGCGUGCCUAACACAUGCAAGUCGAACGGGGUUACACGAGUAGCAAUACUUGUGCAACCUAGUGGCGGACGGGUGAGUAACGCGUGAGCAACCUACCUUCCAGAGGGGGAUAACACAGGGAAACCUGUGCUAAUACCGCAUAAAGUACAGUGGGGGCAUCCCUGCAGUACCAAAGGAGCAAUCCGCUGGGAGAUGGGCUCGCGUCCGAUUAGGUAGUUGGUGGGGUAACGGCUCACCAAGCCGACGAUCGGUAGCCGGACUGAGAGGUUGGCCGGCCACAUUGGGACUGAGACACGGCCCAGACUCCUACGGGAGGCAGCAGUGGGGAAUAUUGCGCAAUGGACGAAAGUCUGACGCAGCGACGCCGCGUGAGCGACGAAGGCCUUCGGGUCGUAAAGCUCUGUUCUUGGGGACGAAGUAUGACGGUACCCAAGGAGAAAGCCCCGGUAACUACGUGCCAGCAGCCGCGGUAAACUAGGUACUCUAAU
This 501-nucleotide ribosomal RNA is filed under the name uncultured bacterium. RNAcentral describes it as "bacterial SSU rRNA". It matches the Rfam family "Bacterial small subunit ribosomal RNA", at positions 28 to 539 of the family's 1533-position model. The record is from RNAcentral.